UAGGUAUGGAAGAGAAACAACCCUUUUUGGGUACUAGGUAUGGAAGAGAAACAACCCUUUUGGGUACCCUCUCACAGGGUACAAGGUAUGGAAGAGAAAACCCCAUUUUGGGUACUAGGUAUGGAAGAGAAACAACCCUUUUUGGGUACUAGGUAUGGAAGAGAAACAACCCGUUUUGGGUACUAGGUAUGGAAGAAAAAGAACCCGUUUUGUGUACUAGGUAUGGAAGAGAAACAACCCGUUUUGUGUACUAGGUAUGGAAGAGAAACAACCCUUUUUGUGUACUAGGUAUGGAAGAGAAACAACCCUUUUUGUGUACUAGGUAUGGAAGAGAAACAACCCUUUUUGUGUACUAGGUAUGGAAGAGAAACAACCCGUUUUGGGUACUAGGUAUGGAAGAGAAACAACCCGUUUUGGGUACUAGGUAUGGAAGAGAAACAACCCUUUUUGUGUACUAGGUAUGGAAGAGAAACAACCCUUUUUGUGUACUAGGUAUGGAAGAGAAACAACCCUUUUUGUGUACUAGGUAUGGAAGAGAAACAACCCUUUUUGUGUACUAGGUAUGGAAGAGAAACAACCCUUUUUGGGUGCUAGGUAUGGAAGAGAAAGAACCCGUUUUGGGUACUAGGUAUGGAAGAUUAUAGUUUGAAGUGCUGCCAUAGAGGUUGAUCUAUGAUUUGUAAAUUAAUCAUUAUGAUUUCAUGUUAUAAUGUCAACCUAUCCGAUGAUAUUCAAGCAGCAGGUAGUGUUAUUUUAUGAUAGGCCUAAUCUCAGCAGGUGAGGAAAGGUUGACAUAAAAAUGCACUUUUCAUGAAUUAUUUGUUAUUGUGCACUAAAAAAAAAGGUCUGAUUUGCAACACUUGUCAAAGCUUUAUGGAGCAAGUGCUAUGGAAAGGAGAAUUGCUAUUAGUGAUAAAAGCACAGAGCGAUAAUACAAGACUGCUCCUACUUGUGACGCAUCACCCUAACGAUCCAAACCAUUAAACACUGGACCUAAAUAAAAUAAAAACACCAUGUCAGAUAUACAAUGUUGAUUUACACGAAUAAAGAGAAAAAAACAGUAAGAAUAAAAAACAUCGUCAGAGAACACUCGGUAGAUACCUAGAGAGAGAACGGGAAUGUCAAAUCCUGACAAACAGCUAAACUGCAAUUAAAUUGACGUAUUGAUCAUGUUUACUUGUCAAAACAAUCCCCUACAAUCGCCAAAGCACUGAGAUGCACUGAGAUGCAGUAGAUGUCACUAUAGUCCCUGGUUCGAAUCCAGGCUGUAUCACAUCCGGCAGUAAUUGGGAGUCUCAUAGGAUGGAGCACAGGUUUGGCCAGGGUAGGCAGUCAUUGAAAAUAAGAAUUUGUUUUUAACUAACUUGCCUAGUUAAAUAAAAAACGCUGUAUGUACCUUACUAAAUACUUGCUGUAUACUUUCGGUGAAUGGGACUAAAUUGGGAAACAUACAGAUUUCCCUGGAAAUCAAUAUGAACCCCCUAAAUAAAUGUGCAAGGCGUACACGUUUUGCAGGGUUAUGUGGCUUGACAGUUAAAUGAGGCCAUUUUGAAUGCUCUUGCCUUUGCCUUGUGAAUUGUUGAUGGAAAUCUUGACAGAAACAGGAGGCAGAGCUGUUGGGUUUCUGGCAUCUCACCCUCAGCUCCCCAAACAUUCUUAAUUAUGAAUAAAAAAAUCCAACUCCUGGGUUAACCGUUGCCAUGGACACAGAGCUCUUAAAAAGCCAGCUUGAAGGUGUAUGGUGCUGUCUGUUUUUGGCACAAAAUGUCAGACAUCCCUGUGUAUUUGCAGAGCUGGGAGGGAUAUGCUCUUAAAGGGAAAUGUCAAAAAUAUACUACUUCAUAUUCAUCAUCUCCAGCAUCAUGCUGCUUUUGCAACAGCUAAUGGGGAUCCUAAUAAAAUACCUAAAAUACCCCAACAUAUGUGACAACGCAGCGUUUCUAUGUUUUGUAGUAAAACAGAGAAAGAUGAAGGUUUCCAAUUACAUCGGUCUGCAUUGUGUGAUUUUAACCAAUUAUGAGUAGGCAUUGCUUACUAAUUGCCUCCUAAUUGGUUGAGGAUGUCAUUGGAAUCAGUUAUCUUCCUCAAUCUUUUUUUACUACAAAACAUAGAAACGUGUCAUUUUCACAUAUGUUGAUGUUGGGGUGGUGCUGGAGAUGACUAUGAAAUUGUCUUUUUUAAACGUAAAUUCCCUUCAAGUAUAAUUUUUUUGUCAAUCAUUUCUCACAGGUGGCAGAAAAAUGGAUAUGUGUGAGGGAGAAAGCUGUAAUAUUCUGUUACCAACACAAGGGCAUGAAAACUGCUCAAAUGUCAAUGUAAUUUGUCUUUUAAUUGAAGG
This is a long non-coding RNA of Oncorhynchus keta (chum salmon), 2338 nucleotides long. RefSeq lists it as uncharacterized. NCBI's taxonomy places the organism in Eukaryota, Metazoa, Chordata, Actinopteri, Salmoniformes, Salmonidae. The transcript has 5 exons. The record is from RefSeq and is a predicted model, not a curated record.